UUAGUUAAAACCAAAUAAGAGGUGCGUCACUGUUAAUUACGUCAAUGGUUUAAACCUAACUAAU
Molecule: transfer RNA, 64 nt
Filed under: Asiopsocus sonorensis
Lineage: Eukaryota; Metazoa; Arthropoda; Insecta; Psocodea; Asiopsocidae
Description: tRNA-Asn
Source: RNAcentral